CCGAACCCCACCGAACGCGUCCGCCGCCUCCCGAUCCCGCCCCGCGGUCCCCCCCGGGGCAUGAACCGCCCCCCGGCGGGCCGAAACCGGCCAAACCGGCAAAACCGCCCCGAUCAUGCCCGUUUUUCGGCGUUCAAACCGCCGCGCGGCUACCCCCCCAUCCCGAUGCCCCCGGACCCCUGGUCCCGUGGGACCUGACGGAAACGGAGUCGGAUGCCCGGAUCAUGAGAUACGCCCAAAACCGUCUAAACCUACUGAGCGCACCCCGAACAUGCCCAUUUUUCGGCGUCCAAACCGCCGCGCGGCUACCCCCCCAUCCCGAUGCCCCCGGAACCCUGGUCCCGCGGGACCCGACGGAAACGGAAUCGGAGGCCCGGAUCAUGAGUUACGGCCCCUUCUUUGCGGCCCCCGAGGACGUGCGCUAUAGCCCCCCGGGCCACCCCCCAUCCGGCCGCACCCGCCCGAACCCCACCGAAUGCGUCCGCCGCCUCCCGAUCCCGCCCCGCGGUCCCCCCCGGGGCAUGAACCGCCCCCCGGCGGGCCGAAACCGGCCAAACCGGCUAAACCGCCCCGAUCAUGCCCAUUUUUCGGCGUUCAAACCGCCGUACGGCUACCCCCCCCAUCCCGAUGCCCCCGGACCCCUGGUCCCGUGGGACCUGACGGAAACGGAAUCGGAUGCUCGGAUCAUGAGAUACGCCCAAAACCGUCUAAACCUACUGAGCGCACCCCGAACAUGCCCAUUUUUCGGCGUUCAAACCGCCGCGCGGCUACCCCCCCAUCCCGAUGCCCCCGGAACCCUGGUCCCGCGGGACCCGACGGAAACGGAAUCGGAGGCCCGGAUCAUGAGUUACGGCCCCUUCUUUGCGGCCCCCGAGGACGUGCGCUAUAGCCCCCCGGGCCACCCCCCAUCCGGCCGCACCCGCCCGAACCCCACCGAACGCGUCCGCCGCCUCCCGAUCCCGCACUGCGGUCCUCCCCGGGGCAUGAACCGCCCCCCGACGGGCCGAAACCGGCCAAACCGGCUAAACCGCCCCGAUCAUGCCCAUUUUUCGGCGUUCAAACCGCCGCACUGCUACCCCCCCAUCCCGAUGCCCCCGGACCCCUGGUCCCGUGGGACCUGACGGAAACGGAAUCGGAUGCUCGGAUCAUGAGAUACGCCCAAAACCGUCUAAACCUACUGAGCGCACCCCGAACAUGCCCAUUUUUCGGCGUUCAAACCGCCGCGCGGCUACCCCCCCAUCCCGAUGCCCCCGGAACCCUGGUCCCGCGGGACCCGACGGAAACGGAAUCGGAGGCCCGGAUCAUGAGUUACGGCCCCUUCUUUGCGGCCCCCGAGGACGUGCGCUAUAGCCCCCCGGGCCACCCCCCAUCCGGCCGCACCCGCCCGAACCCCACCGAACGCGUCCGCCGCCUCCCGAUCCCGCCCCGCGGUCCCCCCCGGGGCAUGAACCGCCCCCCGGCGGGCCGAAACCGGCCAAACCGGCUAAACCGCCCCGAUCAUGCCCAUUUUUCGCCGUUCAAACCGCCGCACGGUUACCCCCCCAUCCCGAUGCCCCCCGACCCCUGGUCCCGUGGGACCUGACGGAAACGGAAUCGGAUGCUCGGAUCAUGAGAUACGCCCAAAACCGUCUAAACCUACUGAGCGCACCCCGAACAUGCCCAUUUUUCGGCGUUCAAACCGCCGCGCGGCUACCCCCCCAUCCCGAUGCCCCCGGAACCUUGGUCCCGUGGGACCUGACGGAAACGGAAUCGGAUGCUCGGAUCAUGAGAUACGCCCAAAACCGUCUAAACCUACUGAGCGCACCCCGAACAUGCCCAUUUUUCGGCGUUCAAACCGCCGCGCGGCUACCCCCCCAUCCCGAUGCCCCCGGAAACCCUGGUCCCGCGGGACCCGACGGAAACGGAAUCGGAGGCCCGGAUCAUGAGUUACGGCCCCUUCUUUGCGGCCCCCGAGGACGUGCGCUAUAGCGAGGACGUGCGCUCCCCCAUCCGGCCGCACCCGCCCGAACCCCACCGAACGCGUCCGCCGCCUCCCGAUCCCGCCCCGCGGUCCCCCCCGGGGCAUGAACCGGCCCCCGGCGGGCCGAAACCGGCCAAACCGGCUAAACCGCCCCGAUCAUGCCCAUUUUUCGGCGUUCAAACCGCCGCACGGCUACCCCCCCAUCCCGAUGCCCCCGGACCCCUGGUCCCGUGGGACCUGACGGAAACGGAAUCAGAUGCUCGGAUCAUGAGAUACGCCCAAAACCAUCUAAACCUACUGAGCGCACCCCGAACAUGCCCAUUUUUCGGCGUUCAAACCGCCGCGCGGCUACCCCCCCAUCCCGAUGCCCCCGGAACCCUGGUCCCGCGGGACCCGACGGAAACGGAAUCGGAGGCCCGGAUCAUGAGUUACGGCCCCUUCUUUGCGGCCCCCGAGGACGUGCGCUAUAGCCCCCCGGGCCACCCCCCAUCCGGCCGCACCCGCCCGAACCCCACCGAACGCGUCCGCCGCCUCCCGAUCCCGCCCCGCGGUCCCCCCCGGGGCAUGAAUCGGCCCCCGGCGGGCCGAAACCGGCCAAACCGGCUAAACCGCCCCGAUCAUCCCAUUUCUCGGCGUUCAAACCGCCGCACGGCUACCCCCCCAUCGCGAUGCCCCCGGACCCCUGGUCCCGUGGGACCUGACGGAAACGGAAUCGGAUGCUCGGAUCAUGAGAUACGCCCAAAACCGUCUAAACCUCAUGAACGCACCCCGAACAUGCCCAUUUUUCGGCGUUCAAACCGCCGCGCGGCUACCCCCCCAUCCCGAUGCCCCCGGAACCCUGGUCCCGCGGGACCCGACGGAAACGGAAUCGGAGGCCCGGAUCAUGAGUUACGGCCCCUUCUUUGCGGCCCCCGAAGACGUGCGCUAUAGCCCCCCGGGCCACCCCCCAUCCGGCCGCACCCGCCCGAACCCCACCGAAUGCGUCCGCCGCCUCCCGAUCCCGCCCCGAGGUCCCCCCCGGGGCAUGAACCGCCCCCCGGUGGGCCGAAACCGGUCUAACCGGCUUAACCGCCCCGAUCAUGCCCUUUUUUCGGCGUUCAACCCCCGCGCGGCUACCCCCCCAUCCCGAUGCCCCCGGACCCCUGGUCCCGGGGGACCUGACGGAAACGGAAUCGGAUGCCCGGAUCAUGAGAUACGCCCAAAACCGUCUAAACCUACUGAGCGCACCCCGAACAUGCCCAUUUUUCGGCGUUCAAACCGCCGCGCGGCUACCCCCCCAU
This 3240-nucleotide long non-coding RNA is filed under the name Citrus x clementina. RNAcentral describes it as "Citrus clementina (C. clementina) long non-coding RNA (CCLE_LNC001210)". The record is from RNAcentral. Lineage: Eukaryota; Viridiplantae; Streptophyta; Magnoliopsida; Sapindales; Rutaceae.